AGCAGCCGCGGUAAUUCCAGCUCCAAUAGCGUAUAUUAAAGUUGUUGCAGUUAAAAAGCUCGUAGUUGAAUUUCGGGAUCAUCAGGUUGGUCGUGCCUCUGGUAUGUACUUUCCUCGAUGGUUCCUCCUUCUUGAAGAACCGUAAUGCCAUUAAUUUGGUGUUGCGGGGAAACAGGACUGUUACUUUGAAAAAAUUAGAGUGUUUAAAGCAGGCAAUCGCUUGAAUACAUUAGCAUGGAAUAAUGAAAUAGGACGUUCGAUCCUAUUUUGUUGGUUUU
RNAcentral lists this ribosomal RNA (278 nucleotides) under Glomeromycota sp. RNAcentral describes it as "partial small subunit ribosomal RNA". It matches the Rfam family "Eukaryotic small subunit ribosomal RNA", at positions 569 to 852 of the family's 1831-position model. The record is from RNAcentral. Lineage: Eukaryota; Fungi; Glomeromycota.